UACGGGGGGAGCGAGCGUUGUUCGGAAUCACUGGGCGUAAAGGGCGCGUAGGCGGUUGGGUAAGUCAGAGGUGAAAUCCCAGGGCUUAACCUUGGAAUUGCCUUUGAUACUGCCUGGCUAGAGGGUGGAAGAGGAUAGUGGAAUUCCUGGUGUAGCGGUGAAAUGCGUAGAUAUCAGGAAGAACACCGGUGGCGAAGGCGGCUAUCUGGUCCACUACUGACGCUGAGGCGCGAAAGCCAGGGGAG
Molecule: ribosomal RNA, 245 nt
Filed under: uncultured bacterium
Lineage: Bacteria
Description: partial 16S ribosomal RNA
Rfam family: Bacterial small subunit ribosomal RNA
Source: RNAcentral